AUUGAACGCUGGCGGCAGGCCAAACACAUGCAAGUCGAGCGGAUGAAGGGAGCUUGCUCCUGGAUUCAGCGGCGGACGGGUGAGUAAUGCCUAGGAAUCUGCCUGGUAGUGGGGGAUAACGUCCGGAAACGGGCGCUAAUACCGCAUACGUCCUGAGGGAGAAAGUGGGGGAUCUUCGGACCUCACGCUAUCAGAUGAGCCUAGGUCGGAUUAGCUAGUUGGUGGGGUAAAGGCCUACCAAGGCGACGAUCCGUAACUGGUCUGAGAGGAUGAUCAGUCACACUGGAACUGAGACACGGUCCAGACUCCUACGGGAGGCAGCAGUGGGGAAUAUUGGAAAAUGGGCGAAAGCCUGAUCCAGCCAUGCCGCGUGUGUGAAGAAGGUCUUCGGAUUGUAAAGCACUUUAAGUUGGGAGGAAGGGCAGUAAGUUAAUACCUUGCUGUUUUGACGUUACCAACAGAAUAAGCACCGGCUAACUUCGUG
RNAcentral lists this ribosomal RNA (484 nucleotides) under uncultured bacterium. RNAcentral describes it as "partial 16S ribosomal RNA". It matches the Rfam family "Bacterial small subunit ribosomal RNA", at positions 30 to 507 of the family's 1533-position model. The record is from RNAcentral.